AAGAGUAUAAUUUAAUGGUAAAAUGAGAAGCUUCAAACUUCGUAUUUUCAGUUCAAGUCUGAAUGCUCUUA
This 71-nucleotide transfer RNA is filed under the name Arthonia quintaria. Its description in RNAcentral is "tRNA-Trp". It matches the Rfam family "tRNA". From Rfam's summary of the family: Transfer RNA (tRNA) molecules are approximately 80 nucleotides in length. The record is from RNAcentral. Lineage: Eukaryota; Fungi; Ascomycota; Arthoniomycetes; Arthoniales; Arthoniaceae.